This 468-nucleotide ribosomal RNA is filed under the name uncultured bacterium. Its description in RNAcentral is "partial 16S ribosomal RNA". It matches the Rfam family "Bacterial small subunit ribosomal RNA", at positions 28 to 507 of the family's 1533-position model. The record is from RNAcentral.
GACGAACGCUGGCGGCGUGCUUAACACAUGCAAGUCGAACGGAAAGGCCCUGCUUUUGUGGGGUGCUCGAGUGGCGAACGGGUGAGUGACACGUGAGUAACCUGCCCUUGACUUUGGGAUAACUUCAGGAAACUGGGGCUAAUACCGGAUAGGAGCUCCUGUUGCAUGGUGGGGGUUGGAAAGUUUCGGCGGUUGGGGAUGGACUCGCGGCUUAUCAGCUUGUUGGUGGGGUAGUGGCUUACCAAGGCUUUGACGGGUAGCCGGCCUGAGAGGGUGACCGGCCACAUUGGGACUGAGAGACGGCCCAGACUCCUACGGGAGGCAGCAGUGGGGAAUAUUGCACAAUGGGCGGAAGCCUGAUGCAGCAACGCCGCGUGCGGGAUGACGGCCUUCGGGUUGUAAACCGCUUUCGCCUGUGACGAAGCGUGAGUGACGGUAAUGGGUAAAGAAGCACCGGCUAACUACGUG